This 279-nucleotide long non-coding RNA is filed under the name Lathyrus oleraceus (garden pea). RNAcentral describes it as "Pisum sativum (pea) long non-coding RNA (PSAT_LNC039658)". The record is from RNAcentral. Lineage: Eukaryota; Viridiplantae; Streptophyta; Magnoliopsida; Fabales; Fabaceae.
UCUUAUCUUCUUAAAAGGUGGUACAUGGCUGGCAAUUCCACCUCUCUCACUCUUCUUCCAACGGUAACAAAAGAAAAAUAAAAUAAAAAGGAAAAAGGACAGACUCUCCAAAAACAUACUCUUCCUCUCAAAACGCUGCUAGCAAAAAGAAAAAUGAAAAAAGACUCUCUCCAGCUUAUCUCUCUCACUAAAAAACAAAAGAAAAGGAUAAGGCCACCACUCACUCUCUCAUAAGACUCUAUUUUGCAACAAUAAGGAAAAAAAAGGGGGAAACGAAAU